UACGGAGGGGGCGAGCGUUAUUCGGAAUUAUUGGGCGUAAAGGGCGCGUAGGCGGCUUGACAAGUCAAAGGUGAAAUCCCUCGGCUCAACUGAGGAACUGCCUUUGAAACUGUCUGGCUUGAGGCCGGGAGGGGGUAGCGGAAUUCCCAGUGUAGCGGUGAAAUGCGCAGAUAUCAGGAGGAACACCGGUGGCGAAGGCGGAUCUCUGGGCCAUUACUGACGCUGAGGAGCGAAAGCGUGGGGAGCGAACAGG
RNAcentral lists this ribosomal RNA (253 nucleotides) under uncultured bacterium. Its description in RNAcentral is "partial 16S ribosomal RNA". It matches the Rfam family "Bacterial small subunit ribosomal RNA", at positions 524 to 776 of the family's 1533-position model. The record is from RNAcentral.